Long non-coding RNA from Oreochromis niloticus (Nile tilapia), 3703 nucleotides. RefSeq lists it as uncharacterized. The record is from RefSeq and is a predicted model, not a curated record. The transcript has 4 exons. Lineage: Eukaryota; Metazoa; Chordata; Actinopteri; Cichliformes; Cichlidae.
GCCUUUGAAAAGUAACAGUGAAAUAUGAGAAUUAAUGCAUGCAAUAGGUUUGUUUGCUUUUUUGUUUGCAUUGUAGGCAAAGUCAGCAUUGGGCAGUGUGUAAUUUUACAUUUGAUAUGAAUAUUUUACAUGUGAACAUAAUCUACUAAUAAUACUCAUCAAUACUCAGGCAUGUCCCUAGGAACACAUUACUUGCAUGCACCACCUCUCAACUUGUGUGCCUAAUCUCACAGAAGUGGACCUCCUAAUCCUUAUAUUUAAUAUUUGCCUUUGUAUUGCUUAUUUAUGCAUUUUGCCAGACUUCAAUGUAUCCAGAUCUUUUAGUACCAUAUUAAUGAAUGGUGUCUACCAUUCUGUCUAAUUUAUAUACUGCUGUCCCUUAAGCCCAUCUAACAUGACUAUCAGGAAUCUAUUAACUGUCUCCAGUCUCAUAACUUAAAGAUAUUAUCACACACUGGGCAAGUCAAGAUACCUUUGUGUUGUUGAGGGUCAGUGAUGGUUUCUCCACUGGAAUCAUCACCAUCAGGAUUGAUCGCGAUGUCAUCCAGCCCUUUCCCCUGCAGGUCAGACAGUUUUCCUUUCUCCAUUGCAAUCAACAGUUUGCUGACUUUUGCAAGCUGCAGGGUACUCUCUGGAAGCCGGUAGAAUUCUCGAUGGACACGGAUGUCGUGUCCGAGAAAGGUGGCAAGUUGAUCCAUUUCACAUUUUCUUUUAGAUUUAGUACUGUGGACAAAGUAGCAACUUGUUUCCGCAAUCUUGUUGAGGUAAGGGCCUCUGGGUACUUUGCACCACAUUUAUUUGAAUACUUGCGAAAGCAGUCAGAGCCACUGUAAUGGGAAAGGACACCUGGGCGUGCAAACAAGUACACAUUCUCUGUGCGGACUUGACACUCACUUCUGGCUUUUGCGAGGAGCUCCAUUGCAGCGAUCAUGUCAGAUGUGAGAAGCACAGGCUCUGGUGACUCUGUAGACUCUUGAGUCUAGAAAAGCAGCUGUUGGACAGAAAGAUGUCAACUGAGUGGGUGCCAGCAGUUUUGUCCACGUGUGUAUGUCCCACUGGGAGGAGUUCCCCUGGAUAAGCUGGAGGUGGUGGCUGGGCAGAGAGAGUUCUGGGCUUCUCUGCUUGGAUCCCAGGGGCAGGAUCCUGACUGCAGAUAAAUGGAACAGUGCAAUGAUUCAGCUUGGUCUAUCUUGAGGAUACCAGGAGAGACGAGCCCUCCGUCACAGGUGGUGUGUUCAGUGAAGAAAGUCACCUGCAGAUUCAAGACCAUUGCAUCUCUAUCCCACAUUCACUGCCACUGUACAUAAGGGAAGUUGAACUUUCUUCAACCACUGCAUUUUCAUCAUCUUAAUCCAUGAGUCAUUCAGGCAGUAAUGCCUGGACUGAGCAGGACUGCUUAAACUUGGGUUCAAAAUAAUUCAAUCUAAAACUUUGGUUUUGUUUUUUUUGUAAGGUUAUUAAAGUUUUAAAUUGUUUAACAAAUAAAUAUGAAAAUUUAAUUUGAUAAUAUUUGAAGUAUAAUUAAAUAACACAAGCUACAAUAGUGGGAAUAUACUUGUUUGUCAUUACAGUGUCCAGUAUGUUGGCUAAUAAAUAGUUUUUGCAUUUGAAAAUAAAAGUUGAGCUGAUUUCAGCUGCAUCACAAAAUGUGUUUUAUUAUUUUUUUUUUAAUCAUACUUGCAUACAUUGUUUAUUGAUUAGGUGUUGUACUAGAAAGCUCUUAUGUUCAAGGAUGACAAAAUGUAAUGUGAUUUAGUUGCAUUAUGAUUUGUAUGCAAGUAAAAUUAAAUUGCAAGUUACCACAAAUUGUUUUUAAUGUAGUUAAACUUAAUGUUUAUUUCAGUGGAUAAACAUUUAAUGUCUCAUUCAGGAAAUUUGGGGGGGGUGGCCAGUUUAGUGGCGACCCUGUCAUCAAGAUAUAUUCUGGCAAAAUUGAGAGGAGCCUUUAUGUUCCUUUUGCUUAGCGAUGGUUUUCGUCUUGGAACUCUGCCAUGCAGGCCAUUUUUGCCCAGUCUCUUUCUUAUAUUGGAGUUAUAUUGCAAGUGAGGCCUGCAGUUCUUUGGAGGUUGUUCUGGGGUUUUUUUUGUGAACUCUUCAAUGAGUAGUUGCUGUGCUCUUGGGAGUAAUUUUGGAAGGGCGGUCACUCCUGGCAAGGUUAAUCACUGUUCCAAGUUUUCUCAUUUGUUCCUGAAUUUCCUUGGAUUGUGGCAUGAUGUCUGGCUUUUGAGGAUCUUUUGGUCUACUCCACUUUGUCAGGCAAGUUAUAUUAAAGUGAUUUAGCAACCACAAUGCCUUAGAAAUGGCAAAUGGCAAACCACAGCCCUCACUGGUUUGCUGUGCUGCCUGUGGACACUCAAAUUGCUCAGAAGACAUGCAUAUUUUUCCCACUGAUCACAAAAAGAGAAAGGAAUAGUUGGCUCGAGUCAGUAGGAGUGACCUUAAACUGACAAAAGAUUACAACAGAAAAGUAUUUGAGGUAAAAUCGUAACAAUGCAUUUGCACUUUUCACAAAGAUCACACCACUGGGAAGAUUGAUUAAAAGGUAAAUUAAAAACCAUUUCAGGAAAUGUUUACUUUAUUGUUUUUACGUGGUUGGAAAUCCUUUAACCACACAGGUGGAGUAGCAACUCUUGCACUUCUUUGAACCAAUAGUCUUUUUUUUUCUGGCUUUGCUGUUCUGAGUGGGAUGUCUGGCAGCAUACAUUAGUACUUCCUCCAAUCUGCUUCUCAACAGUCAACAAACAGGUGGUAUAAACUUUGAAGAGCAUCUUUUCUGCUUGGCACAAAGACACAGCUCAGAUUUGGACUCAUUAGACCAAAGCACAGAUUUCCACUGGUCUAAUGUCCAUUCCUUGUGUUUCUUGGCCCAAACAAAUCUCCUCUGCUUGCUUUUCCUUUGUAUUGGUUUCUUAGCAGCUAUCUGACCAUAAAGGUCUGAUUUGCGCAGUCUUCUCUGAACAAUUGAUGUAGAGAUGUCUGGUACUGGAACUCUGUGUGGCAUUUAUCUGGGCGUUGAGGUGCUGUUAACUUGCGAUUUGUGGGGCUAGUGACUCAGAUGAAUUUCUCCUCAGCAGCAGAGGUGACUCUUGGUCUUCCUUUUCUGGAGUGGUCCUCAUUUGAGCCAGUUUCAUCAUAGUGCUUGAUGGUUUUUGCAACUACGCAUUCAAAGUUUUAGCAAUUUUCAGGCCGACUGACCUUUAGUUCUUAAAAUAAUGAUGGACUGUCAUUUCUCUGUACUUUGCUGAUUGGUUCUUGCCAUAAUAUGAAUUCUAACAGUUGUCACAUAGGUUGGUACAUAGCUGACAGCCCUGACUUCUGCACAACAAAACUGAUUGUCCCAACCCCAUUAAGAAGGCAAGAAAUUCCCCAAAUGAACCCUGACAAGACACACCUGUGAAGUGAAAACCAUUUCAUGUGACUACACCAUGAAGCUUAUUGAGAGAAGGCAAAGUUUGCAGCGCUGUCAACAAAGUAAAGGGUGCCAAAAAUAUAUAUCUAUACAACAUAUCUAUGUAUACAUGUAUAUGUGGGCAAGAGAAUUAAAACACACAGUUGUUAGGCUUCACUUCACAGUCAGUGUUUCAGUAGUUUUCCUCUUUUUCACCCAAAAAUAUUUGUGUUAAACUGUCAACCAAUGUUCCCUCUAAGCUGCGCACGUGCGCAAUUGCGCACUGCUGGCACGGUCUCUGAGCACAGAAAAUCU